CGAAAGUUACGCUAAUACCGCAUACGAUCUAAGGAUGAAAGCGGGGACCGUAAGGCCUCGCGCGAUUGGAGCGGCCGAUAUCAGAUUAGGUAGUUGGUGGGGUAAAGGCUCACCAAGCCAACGAUCUGUAGCUGGUCUGAGAGGACGACCAGCCACACUGGAACUGAGACACGGCCCAGACUCCUACGGGAGGCAGCAGGUGGGGAAUACUGGAACAAGUGGGGGCAACCCUGAUCCAGCCAUGCCGCGUGAGUGAAGAAGGCCUUCGGGUUGUAAAGCUCUUUCGACGGGGACGAUGAUGACGGUACCCGUAUAAGAAGCCCCGGCUAACUUCGUG
RNAcentral lists this ribosomal RNA (337 nucleotides) under uncultured bacterium. RNAcentral's name for it is "bacterial SSU rRNA". It matches the Rfam family "Bacterial small subunit ribosomal RNA", at positions 152 to 507 of the family's 1533-position model. The record is from RNAcentral.